RNAcentral lists this ribosomal RNA (483 nucleotides) under Diutina mesorugosa. RNAcentral's name for it is "eukaryotic LSU rRNA". It matches the Rfam family "Eukaryotic large subunit ribosomal RNA", at positions 63 to 493 of the family's 3401-position model. The record is from RNAcentral. Lineage: Eukaryota; Fungi; Ascomycota; Pichiomycetes; Serinales; Debaryomycetaceae.
ACCCAACCUGGGAUUGCCUCAGUAACGGCGAGUGAAGCGGCAACAGCUCAAAUUUGAAAGCCCGCGGGCGUUGUAAUUUGCAGGCGGAUGUUUUGGGGCGGGCGCUGUCUACGUUCCUUGGAACAGGACGCCGCAGAGGGUGAGAGCCCCGUGCGAUGGCGCCUUUAACCGCGUAAAACUCCGCCGACGAGUCGAGUUGUUUGGGAAUGCAGCUCUAAGUGGGUGGUAAAUUCCAUCUAAAGCUAAAUACUGGCGAGAGACCGAUAGCGAACAAGUACAGUGAUGGAAAGAUGAAAAGCACUUUGAAAAGAGAGUGAAACAGCACGUGAAAUUGUUGAAAGGGAAGGGUAUGCGAUUAGCGGCCAGCAGGAGGUGCGUUCUCGCGAAAAGGCCGUGCACCGUCUUCGGACACCGUGCGCGGAGAUGGCGAGGGGGCGCCUGAGGUCUGCGACUCGAGGUUGCUGGCGUAAUGAUCAUACCACC